UUAUUGGAGAGUUUGAUCCUGGCUCAGGAUGAACGCUGGCGGCGUGCCUAAUACAUGCAAGUCGAGCGAAUGGAUUAAGAGCUUGCUCUUAUGAAGUUAGCGGCGGACGGGUGAGUAACACGUGGGUAACCUGCCCAUAAGACUGGGAUAACUCCGGGAAACCGGGGCUAAUACCGGAUAACAUUUUGAACCGCAUGGUUCGAAAUUGAAAGGCGGCUUCGGCUGUCACUUAUGGAUGGACCCGCGUCGCAUUAGCUAGUUGGUGAGGUAACGGCUCACCAAGGCAACGAUGCGUAGCCGACCUGAGAGGGUGAUCGGCCACACUGGGACUGAGACACGGCCCAGACUCCUACGGGAGGCAGCAGUAGGGAAUCUUCCGCAAUGGACGAAA
RNAcentral lists this ribosomal RNA (391 nucleotides) under Bacillus cereus. Its description in RNAcentral is "bacterial SSU rRNA". It matches the Rfam family "Bacterial small subunit ribosomal RNA", at positions 1 to 380 of the family's 1533-position model. Lineage: Bacteria; Bacillati; Bacillota; Bacilli; Caryophanales; Bacillaceae. The record is from RNAcentral.